GGCUACGGCUCCGAUUCGACCCCCAGCCUGGAAACCUCCACAUGCCAUGGGUGCGGCCCUAGAAGAGACAAAAAGACAAAAUAAAUACAUAAAUAAAUAAAANAUAUAAAACCCCAACAAUGCAGAGUUGAAAAGAGAGAGGCGGCAGAGAGUGGGCAGAGGUAAUGAGACGCUGGGUGUGAGUUCCCGGGAGGGGCUGGGCAGAUCAGCCCACAGAGUUCAACUGCUGGGGAAUUUUGGCUCGUAACACAACAUCCUGUAGCUGCUGGUAAACAUCAGGCCCUUUGUGGGAGAGGUGGCCCCGACCUUGGCAGAGCUGCGUCUGGGUGGGGACCCCUGGAACUCCCUGACUCACAGAGGAGAUAGCUGAAGGAGGGCGGGGCACAGGCGUGGGACAGCCGGCUGCUGCCCAGCUCACCGGUGCCACCUUCAAGCACGGGGUGGGGGAGCGGGGCUGCAGAGACACCUGUUUCCCAGGCCUCUAUCCCCACAUGGACACCCGGGGAGCCUAGGUGAGUGGGCUCAGGUUGCUCACACUUAGGUUGUCAAGAAAAAGACCCUGAAGCUUAGGGAAAAGGGUCACAGGGUAUUCACGAAGGCGAAUGACUUUUCCAGGUCACGCCGCAGGGUGGGAUGUGUUGGUGUGGCAGAGGCGACCCGCCGACUUCUGCAGUGGGGCAGGGAGAUCACCGGGGCAGGCCAGGCAGAAGCCAAGGGCUGAUGUGUCCUUUGAGAAGAAUACGGGAAGGGCAAAGCUAGGGGCGAUGGGGACGAGAAGCAAGAGCUGAAUCGUGCUCCCCUGUCUCUGGCCAGCCCUCCAUUGGCACUGGUGGGGGGCACUCCUGGGGUCCCGGCUGUCUUCUUUGUCCAGGACUUCUCUCCCCUUCUCUGUUAAUUAGGACAUUGGAGAAAUUUUCAUGAAAACUACGGUGUCUAGACUUGGGGAGCUGUGGGGAGCGCUAGGGGAAGGUUUAAUUGCAGCGUUGAGAAGACACAUGAAGACGGCAGGGUUUUGCAAGUCUCUUCUGAGGACAAAGCCGCACGGAGCUGUGGUUUCCCCGAUUGCCCUGACAUUGCCUGUCAUGUCAGGGAUGCCUUGGGUGUUUUGUCUGAGCAUUUAGGGUUGCCAAAGUGUUUGUCUCCUCAAGAAAAAGUUGCAAGGAUCUGCAGAGAAAGCUGUGCUGCCGUGCUUUGGUCUUCACCAGUCUUACUGUCAGCGGGAGCCGUCGCAAAGGGGGACAGAGGCAGACCUGAAGAUACUCCCUGCAUCUUUUGGAGAAAUAGAGGAAGUGAUGAGGAUGGAGCCGCCUACCUUGCCAAGUCUGGUUACCGGGUGUUUCUGGUUACCAAGGACACAGAUUCAAUGGCAUGUGUCCUUCAGCCUACUGUUGGGAGGACCAAGCAAAAUGCUUCCCUUGCUAACAUAUAGUAAAGCCAGGCUCACUGGUAUCCAGUUAACUAGAAAUCCCCAUGAGUCGGCCCUUCUCCACCUGGAGAGGACAAAGUGACUGGUGUUCGUGAUGAUGCCUGGAAGGUUCCAGGCCAUCCCCAAAUGCCUUUUGCUUUUCCCAGUGGAACUGUCACUGUCGUUUCUGCUGAUUAUGCAUGUAAAACUCGCUUACUAUAAAGAUUCAACACUG
Molecule: long non-coding RNA, 1640 nt
Filed under: Sus scrofa (pig)
Lineage: Eukaryota; Metazoa; Chordata; Mammalia; Artiodactyla; Suidae
Description: lncRNA (ENSSSCG00025026656.1)
Source: RNAcentral